RNAcentral lists this ribosomal RNA (327 nucleotides) under uncultured eukaryote. RNAcentral's name for it is "partial 18S ribosomal RNA". It matches the Rfam family "Eukaryotic small subunit ribosomal RNA", at positions 1470 to 1796 of the family's 1831-position model. The record is from RNAcentral.
CCCUUAGAUGUUCUGGGCCGCACACGCGCUACACUGAAGGAGGCAGCGUGUACUCCUGGAUCGAAAGAUUUGGGUAACCCGCGAAUCUCCUUCGUGCUAGGGAUUGAGGUUUGCAAUUAUCCUUCAUGAACGAGGAAUUCCCAGUAAGUGCAAGUCAUAAGCUUGCGCUGACUACGUCCCUGCCCUUUGUACACACCGCCCGUCGCUACUUCCGAUUGAAUGAUUUAGUGAGGACUUCGGACUGGGACCGAUGCGGCUUUCGGGCUGCGUCGGUAUUCUGGAAAGAUGUCCAAACUGUAUCAUUUAGAGGAAGUAAAAGUCGUAACA